UAAACUUUGAGCCUUGAUAAAAACCUUUGUCUUGGCUUCGUUCUUUCAUCGUAUUCCUUUUUUAUUUCCAGCCUUCCUUUCAGGUACCAAUUUCAUCCAUGGCCAUUGGAGGGCUACAAGUGGUGCCCAAAUGAGAGGACUGAAAACGGGGUUGGUGUGGAGUGGGUGGAGCCCACUGAGAAACGCUGUCUUAGGUGGAGCUCCACAGAGAACAGAAAAAAGUUACAGUAUCCUGCAUGAGUUGUUGCCUGGAAGCAAAAGGUAGCAAGUGCUCGAGGAUAAUCCCCACUCUGUAUUCUGAGAGUCUGUGUGAGCAAAGGAGGAAGAUGGCUCUUCAGGCCAAAAGCCCAAAUAAAUCUACAGCAACUUUUGCCUGCAAGACUCAGACAUUUAUUAUGUGAUACUAUCUUAAAUUUUGUUUUACAAAUCUGUUCCUGGA
Molecule: long non-coding RNA, 439 nt
Filed under: Mus spicilegus (steppe mouse)
Lineage: Eukaryota; Metazoa; Chordata; Mammalia; Rodentia; Muridae
Description: lncRNA (ENSMSIG00000008849.1)
Source: RNAcentral